This 1126-nucleotide ribosomal RNA is filed under the name Actinomycetes bacterium. Its description in RNAcentral is "bacterial SSU rRNA". It matches the Rfam family "Bacterial small subunit ribosomal RNA", at positions 93 to 1196 of the family's 1533-position model. Lineage: Bacteria; Bacillati; Actinomycetota; Actinomycetes. The record is from RNAcentral.
UAGUGGCGAACGGGUGAGUAAUACGUGAGUAACCUACCUUUAACUCUGGGAUAAGCCUGGGAAACUGGGUCUAAUACCGGAUACGACCAAUCUCCGCAUGGGGUGUUGGUGGAAAGCGUUAUGUAGUGGUUAUAGAUGGGCUCACGGCCUAUCAGCUUGUUGGUGAGGUAACGGCUCACCAAGGCGACGACGGGUAGCCCGCCUGAGAGGGUGACCGGCCACACUGGGACUGAGACACGGCCCAGACUCCUACGGGAGGCAGCAGUGGGGAAUAUUGCACAAUGGGCGCAAGCCUGAUGCAGCGACGCCGCGUGAGGGAUGACGGCCUUCGGGUUGUAAACCUCUGUUAGCAGGGAAGAAGAGAGAUUGACGGUACCUGCAGAGAAAGCGCCGGCUAACUACGUGCCAGCAGCCGCGGUAAUACGUAGGGCGCGAGCGUUGUCCGGAAUUAUUGGGCGUAAAGAGCUUGUAGGCGGUUUGUCGCGUCUGCUGUGAAAGGCCGGAGCUUAACUCCGUGUAUUGCAGUGGGUACGGGCAGACUAGAGUGCAGUACGGGAGACUGGAAUUCCUGGUGUAACGGUGGAAUGCGCAGAUAUCACGACGAACACCCAUGGCGAAGGCAGGUCUCUGGGCCGUAACUGACGCUGAAAAGCGAAACCAUGGGGGAGCCAACAGGAUUAGAUACCCCUGGUAGUCCAUGCCGGUAAACAGUAUGGGCACUAGGUCCUGGGGGAACACUGCUCCACGUUUUCCGUCGCCCUUAGCUAUACGUCAUUUAAGUGCCCCUGCCUGGUGGAGUACAGGCCCGCAACGGCUGAAAUACUCAAAGAAAUUGUACGGGGAGCCCGGCAAUAAGCGGAGGGAAGCGGAUGCGAACUAAUUUCCAUGCAACGCGAAGAACCUUACCAAGGCUUGACAUAUACUGGAUCGCAUCAGAGAUGGUGUUUCCCUUCGGGGCUGGUAUACAGGUGGUGCAUGGUUGCGUCAGCUCGUGUCGUGAGAUGUUGGGUUAAGUCCCGCAACGAGCGCAACCCUCGUUCUAUGUUGCCAGCACGUUAUGGUGGGGACUCAUAGGAGACUGCCGGGGUCAACUCGGAGGAAGGUGGGGAUGACGUCAAAUCAUCAU